UCGACGAACACUACCGACGGAACUUUUCGGAGGGAAGAUGGUCAUGACUGAGUGGCGGACGGGUGAGUAACGCGUGGGCAACCUGCCCCAUAGAGGGGGACAACAGCUGGAAACGGCUGCUAAUACCGCAUAACAAGGAGAGAGCGCAUGUUCUUUUCUUCAAAGAUUUAUCGCUAUGGGAUGGACCCGCGUCUGAUUAGCUGGUUGGUGAGGUAACGGCUCACCAAGGCGACGAUCAGUAGCCGGCUUGAGAGAGUGGACGGCCACAUUGGGACUGAGACACGGCCCAGACUCCUACGGGAGGCAGCAGUGGGGAAUAUUGCACAAUGGGGGAAACCCUGAUGCAGCGACGCCGCGUGAGUGAAGAAGUAUUUCGGUAUGUAAAGCUCUAUCAGCAGGGAAGAUAAUGACGGUACCUGACUAAGAAGCCCCGGCUAACUACGUGCCAGCAGCCGCGGUAAUACGUAGGGGGCAAGCGUUAUCCGGAUUUACUGGGUGUAAAGGGAGCGUAGGUGGCAGGGCAAGUCAGAUGUGAAAACCCGGGGCUCAACCCCGGGAGUGCAUUUGAAACUGUCCAGCUGGAGUGCAGGAGAGGUAAGUGGAAUUCCUAGUGUAGCGGUGAAAUGCGUAGAUAUUAGGAGGAACACCAGUGGCGAAGGCGGCUUACUGGACCGUAACUGACGUUGAGGCUCGAAAGCGUGNGGAGCAAACAGGAUUAGAUACCCUGGNAGUCCACGCCGUAAACGAUGAUUACUAGGUGUC
Molecule: ribosomal RNA, 762 nt
Filed under: uncultured bacterium
Lineage: Bacteria
Description: bacterial SSU rRNA
Rfam family: Bacterial small subunit ribosomal RNA
Source: RNAcentral